This 73-nucleotide transfer RNA is filed under the name Deinococcus metalli. RNAcentral describes it as "tRNA-Phe". It matches the Rfam family "tRNA". From Rfam's summary of the family: Transfer RNA (tRNA) molecules are approximately 80 nucleotides in length. Their secondary structure includes four short double-helical elements and three loops (D, anti-codon, and T loops). Lineage: Bacteria; Thermotogati; Deinococcota; Deinococci; Deinococcales; Deinococcaceae. The record is from RNAcentral.
CCGGUAGCUCAGCAGGAAGAGCGUCUGGUUGAAGUCCAGAAGGCCGCAGGUUCGAGUCCUGCCCGGUUCACCA